Long non-coding RNA from Octopus sinensis (East Asian common octopus), 829 nucleotides. RefSeq lists it as uncharacterized. The transcript has 3 exons. The record is from RefSeq and is a predicted model, not a curated record. Lineage: Eukaryota; Metazoa; Mollusca; Cephalopoda; Octopoda; Octopodidae.
UAUCGACGCAGAAUUGUGGGCGUUGUGCCGGUGGAAUCGAUAACCAAACGAAAUUCGCUGAAGUAACCAGCCUUGGAAUCACCACCAACAAACGUCACCGCCAUCAGGAAACUACCAAGAACACCUGUUCGCAACAACACCCGAAAAUCAUCAAUCAUGUUUGUUACGACUACACCGAGCUAAUGAUGGAGUCUCUACGCGUGGCCUUGCCGCAUGUUAGAAAUAGCAGCCAAAUCGCUUUAAAUCAUAUCCUACCUUUGUCUAAAGACGAUAAGGUUGAUGUAGGACUUAAACGAUAACGACCUACACCUGAACACACGCCGGAUAAGGUGACCUUGUUUCCUUGUUCAUAGGAAAAAAGACAGGAUAGCCACGGCUGGAAUACAUAUGAUCGUUGAUCUGUUUGACCAGGGUCGACCUGGGGUUAAAUAAUAACAAUGAUCACUACUGCAUCGUUGACUUCAGCAAACAGCAUUGUUAACAUCAUUAUUACAACCACCACCACCACCACCGCAACAACAACAUUAACUAACAUCACUGCCAACGUUGCUGGCUCUGAUUGAGCAGACUUAUGAUCAAAAACGUUCCAUCCACGACAGUCCCGCAGGAUUACGUUAUAGAACGUGUUCCGUCUUUUUCAAAAUGUGCAUUGAACUUGUUGUAAUAGAUGAAGAAUCGUUAUUCUCAUAAUUAAGAUUGGCUGAAUGAAUCUGAAUCAAAGGCAUCAUUAAACCAAGCAGCUUCCAUUAAAUGAAGUUUGGAUUUUUAAACAAAUUCCAGUCACUUAUCAAAAUCAAGUAAAAAAGAGAAUCCAAAUUAAAAAGUAAGU